AUUAACGCUGGCGGCAUGCCUAAUGCAUGCAAGUAGAACGAGUCUCGCAAGAGAUUAGUUGCGAACGGCUGAGUAAUGGAUAGGAAUCUCCCUUUUGGCGCGGAAUACCUCAUCGAAAGAUGAGCUAAUACCACAUAAGAUCGCAAGAUGAAAGCACUUAACUGUGCACCGAAAGAUGAGCCUAUCUCCCAUCAGGCAGUUGGUAGGGUAAUGGCCUACCAAACCUAUGACGGGUAGGGGGCGUGAGAGCGCGUUCCCCCAGAAUGGGACUGAGACACGGCCCAUACACCUACGGGUGGCAGCAACAGGGAAUCGUACACAAUGGACGAAAGUCUGAUGUCGCAAUGCCGCGUGGAGGAUGAAGGCCUUCGGGUCGUAAACUCCUUUUACAGUAAUAGAGAUGUUAUUGAGAAUAAGCACCUGCUAACUCUGU
RNAcentral lists this ribosomal RNA (433 nucleotides) under uncultured bacterium. Its description in RNAcentral is "bacterial SSU rRNA". It matches the Rfam family "Bacterial small subunit ribosomal RNA", at positions 29 to 506 of the family's 1533-position model. The record is from RNAcentral.